This 102-nucleotide non-coding RNA is filed under the name Bifidobacterium pullorum subsp. gallinarum. RNAcentral describes it as "Bifidobacterium gallinarum TPP sequence". It matches the Rfam family "TPP riboswitch aptamer (THI element)". Rfam says of the family: Vitamin B(1) in its active form thiamin pyrophosphate (TPP) is an essential coenzyme that is synthesised by coupling of pyrimidine and thiazole moieties in bacteria. The previously detected thiamin-regulatory element, thi box was extended, resulting in a new, highly conserved RNA secondary structure, the THI element, which is widely distributed in eubacteria and also occurs in some archaea. The record is from Rfam by way of RNAcentral. Lineage: Bacteria; Bacillati; Actinomycetota; Actinomycetes; Bifidobacteriales; Bifidobacteriaceae.
GAUGGUAUGCAGGGGAACCCGUUUGGGUUGAGAAAGGCUUCGGACCUGACCCUUGGAACCUGUUGGUUAACACCAUCGUAGGGAGGCAUCAUAUGACCGACA